This 418-nucleotide ribosomal RNA is filed under the name Fusarium sp. MRC 6742. Its description in RNAcentral is "eukaryotic LSU rRNA". It matches the Rfam family "Eukaryotic large subunit ribosomal RNA", at positions 65 to 495 of the family's 3401-position model. The record is from RNAcentral. Lineage: Eukaryota; Fungi; Ascomycota; Sordariomycetes; Hypocreales; Nectriaceae.
CCAACAGGGAUUGCCCUAGUAACGGCGAGUGAAGCGGCAACAGCUCAAAUUUGAAAUCUGGCUCUCGGGCCCGAGUUGUAAUUUGUAGAGGAUACUUUUGAUGCGGUGCCUUCCGAGUUCCCUGGAACGGGACGCCAUAGAGGGUGAGAGCCCCGUCUGGUUGGAUGCCAAAUCUCUGUAAAGUUCCUUCGACGAGUCGAGUAGUUUGGGAAUGCUGCUCUAAAUGGGAGGUAUAUGUCUUCUAAAGCUAAAUACCGGCCAGAGACCGAUAGCGCACAAGUAGAGUGAUCGAAAGAUGAAAAGCACUUUGAAAAGAGAGUUAAAAAGUACGUGAAAUUGUUGAAAGGGAAGCGUUUAUGACCAGACUUGGGCUUGGUUAAUCAUCUGGGGUUCUCCCAGUGCACUUUUCCAGUCCAGG